UGUUUUUGGUACAUUUGGGACCAUAAAACCCGAAGCAACUAAACUACAAUCUAAUAGUCUCCUCUGUUUCGGCACAUAUGAGAAAAAGUUACCAAAUUGUUCACCUUUUGCUUUUGCAAAUCCUCAACCAAGAAAAAGAAAUGCCAAAAGCAACAAAAAAGCAAAAUUCUAAAUUGAUAUAGCAACAUGGAUGGUGGUCAUGAGAGACAGAAAUGUCUCUGUGAGUCUUUCUAGCAGUAGAUUACUAUGGCGAAGCCACUUGCCGGUUUUUUUUUUUUCUUCUUAAAAAGAACAUGAUAUAGAAAGGCUCAUAAUCCUACUAACAAUAAGGGAAAUUUUGGCAAUGUUCCAUAAAUUUAGUAUAGUGUUAUAAUUUACUUCUUCAACUUUCAGAUUAUGAACCUCUUUAAUAUGCAAAAAUGAAAAAGAGUUAAUUUUUCACAUACCAUCAAAUCAAUCAUAUUUCCGAUCAAAUAGGGUUAUGUUCGUUAACUUAAGCGAGGAAGAGGAACAUAACUGAACAUGAUACAAAUUUGACUUACAUUUAUUAUCAAUAAAUUUGGUAGAGGAGGGGCAUGUGAGGAGUUGGGUGUAAUGGUGGUCCUCACUUAUUCAAGAGAGAGUAGGUACCUCGCACGCGAUCAUUGUUAAAAAACUAAUCUCGUCUAAUAUUUUUCUAUUUUAAAAGAAAAAACAUGAUUAUGUAAACUCGAAAACAAAAUU
Molecule: long non-coding RNA, 723 nt
Filed under: Malus domestica (apple)
Lineage: Eukaryota; Viridiplantae; Streptophyta; Magnoliopsida; Rosales; Rosaceae
Description: long non-coding RNA (MDOM_LNC006313)
Source: RNAcentral